RNAcentral lists this long non-coding RNA (542 nucleotides) under Mytilus galloprovincialis (Mediterranean mussel). Lineage: Eukaryota; Metazoa; Mollusca; Bivalvia; Mytilida; Mytilidae. The record is from RNAcentral.
AACAUUUGAUGUAAAUAAUAACAAAAUAAAGUCUCAAAGUUUGUAUGUAACGAACAUAUUGCAUAACAAGAGUGCACUUAAGUUACCAAGUCAGGAAUAUGACCGUAGUUAUUCGUUCGUUUUUAUGUUUGAGCUUUAGAUUUUGCCAUUUAAUUAGGGACUUUACUCGGAGUUCAUUAUUCUUGUUAUUUUACUUUGAAAAAGUAUUUUAAAUAUACUUUUAUAAACAAUUAUAUUGUAAGAAUGCCCUGGAGUGCCAUGCCAAAAAAUAACUAACGUGUGCGCGCAAAUUGUAAUUUUGUUUUGCAUGGCACUCACGGGCUACCAUACAUUUAUGUACAUGAUUCCUGAAGCGUUGUAUAAAACGAAAUUCCUAACGUCAAUAUUUUCUUUGUGCAUUGUUGUGUGUUUGUCUAUUCUACAUUGUCCAUAUGUGAAGCGGUUGGGUUAAUCACAAAUUAUUGUUCACCCUGCCGCAUUAAUGCGCAUUUCCCAUUACAAGAAAAAAUAGUUUUCAUGAAAGAAUUAUAUUAUCCUAAAAA